Patella vulgata (common limpet) is the source of this 798-nucleotide long non-coding RNA. RefSeq lists it as uncharacterized. The transcript has 3 exons. NCBI's taxonomy places the organism in Eukaryota, Metazoa, Mollusca, Gastropoda, Patellidae. The record is from RefSeq and is a predicted model, not a curated record.
CAAAUAUUUUUUUUUUUAAAUUUGAACUCCAUACAAAGUCUUAAUCCGGGGGUCCACAAGUAAGAGAAAGGUAUUUUUUACUCAGACAAUAUAGCCAGACAGACUUGAAUGCUAAUUGGUGUUAAGAUGUCUGUAGUUAAAAUAAAGUUGGGCCCAAUAAACUGGUAGAUCAAAGGCCUGUUGAGCGCUCAUGCCCGGUGUGAUUUUAACAAUUGACUCCAAAUGCGUUGACAAGAAAAUAAGUAAAACUGUUAUUGAAUGUGAUUGGUUGAUAAAAUCAACGUACUAUAGGCUACAUUUUGUCUGCGAUAUCAUCUCGGUGGAAGCGGACAUUAAAUGAAGUGAUUUCACACAAUUAAUUUAACAUUUAACAACGUGCUGAAAUGAUUUUGGAGCAGUGAUAUGUUUGACAAAUGUAAGCUAAUGGUCACAUAGAAUACAAGACCGCAGAAUCACAUUAUGAUUAAAGCAGAAACGGUUCGACUUGAACCAGCAGACGGAAGAUAUGGACGAACAACAAGAAGAAGUUAUGGAGGUCCCAACAACUGAACCUAUGGAAGUAGAAGAAUCGUUUACAGCCGAAACCCGAUACGAUGUGCCAGUUCCGGUUAUGGAGUCCUCCAUCUCAGACGAUGCCGACGUUAGUGUCUUCUGCGACGAAGAACCCGUAGUGGUGUAUCACUAUAAACCUCAGAAUGCGUCUUUUACAGAUUUCAAUAUAACCACAAAUGGUUGAUUGUUUUAAUGCUAAGAUAAGUAUUAAUGGUUUGUAUUUGAAAAUCAAAUUAUAUAAGCGAA